GGGUGGAUAACUCUAAGUACACUAUUUUGCAAAAAUAGUGGUAAGGAUUUAUAUCCUUUCCGCCCU
RNAcentral lists this transfer RNA (66 nucleotides) under Capsala katsuwoni. RNAcentral's name for it is "tRNA-Cys". The record is from RNAcentral. Lineage: Eukaryota; Metazoa; Platyhelminthes; Monogenea; Capsalidea; Capsalidae.